GUCACAUGACAAGAAAACAUGGCGGAUGCAGUACGUCGGAAAUCUAUUCAUACUUGUCCCACACACAUACUGUAAGGAACGUGCCGUUUUAACGGUCGAUAGGCUUCUCAUGAAAGCAGAACCAGCAGAUGCCCACCCAGUCUGGCGUCAUGAUCUGAUGUCUCCUGUGAUGGUUUGAUGCCCAAAUGACCUGAAGAACGCUUGAUCGUAAAUGAAUUCAGCUGUCAGCUUGUGGAGAUAAAAGAGAUUUGCACUGCAUUCACCCUGAACUCAAGAGAAGAGUGUGUGAAAGGACAAACACACAGACGUGCCACAGUCCUGUGAGACGAGAGCAAUGACAUCGCAUCAGCAUCGCCAUGGAAACACCAGGCCAUCAAUGUCACUCUGCGACUGUUUGCCUUGUUCUUCACAUUCUGUGUUUUAGAUAUUUGUGAAUAGCGGAGUGAAAACAUUUCAGCCCAAAAUCAAAGAAAUUUAAAUGAAAAGGUCAUUAAAUACAUAAAAUAAAAAUUAAUAAAUAAAUAAAAUAUAAAAUGUGCAUAAAUAAAAGUUUACAAGCAAAAAAUGAUGUUUGAUUUUGGGGUGAAAUAUAAAUGGCGUGUUCUUGACAUGAAGUCUGUCUCUCUGAAUCAUGCAAAAUCAAAGUCCCGUCAUGUGAUUUAUCUGCUGUGAAACACUCAUGACAGACAAAACAGACGACGUGAGAAAAUUGCACAGGCUUUGACAUGAAUUCAGUUCAACAGUUUUUUAAGAUGAAGGUUGUCAAAUAAAAUAAUGAAAAAAACCCACAUUUAUAAAUAUAAAUUAAAUAUUUUUUUAUACUAUUGUCAGCUGUAGGCUGUUUACAGUUUCCAAGCAACACACACCACACAUGCUGUCCAUGUAACCAACUAUAAUAACCCUGAGAAGUCAACAAUACAACCAACCAAAGACUUUUAUUUUAUUUUUUAUUUAUAAAUGAAUUUCUUAGUAUUUUUGUCUUUUUGUCCAGG
This is a long non-coding RNA of Triplophysa rosa, 992 nucleotides long. RefSeq lists it as uncharacterized. The record is from RefSeq and is a predicted model, not a curated record. NCBI's taxonomy places the organism in Eukaryota, Metazoa, Chordata, Actinopteri, Cypriniformes, Nemacheilidae. The transcript is spliced from 3 exons.